CCCUCCCCCCCCCAAACCCCCCCCUCCCUCUCCCCCCUAGCCCUCCCCUCCCUCCCCCCCGGGCGGUCCCCCCUCCACCCCUUUCCCUAUCCUUCUUCUCUAUUCCUCUAUUCACCCCUACCCUGUUCCUCCAUCCUGUCCCUUUUCCUUCCCUCCCCAGCCGGGCUCCCCCGUGCCCCCUCUCCCUGCUCCCCUUCCCCCCCCCCCCCCCCCCGGUUCCUUCUGCCACCUUUCCAUGACACCUUCCCCCCUCCACACCUUCUGCCUCCUUCCCCAAACCCGCCUGCAAUCCUUCCUUUCCUUUCUCCACCCUGCCUUCCCCCCAGCCCCCUCCCCGACUGCCCUGCACACCCCGACCUCUUCCCACCUGCCUCCUGUCCUUGUCCCCUUCCCCUCGGCUGCCGCUCUGCUCCCCUGUUCUCGUUCCCCAUUCCCCGCUCUCCUUCUUUCCUCGCAGCCGCGGGGCUCGGGGUGCCGGAGAAUAAAGCCCAGAGGGCCGGAGCCCGGCGCCCCCCGCCCUCGCUGGGGUCCCCACACGGGGCAGGAGCCGCUCUGCGGGUCCCCCCAUUCCAGUGUAAUACACGGCCCGACAGUGCCGGGGCUCCGGCUUUCCCGACAUCACACUGGGGGGUCGGGCUGGGGGGCAGGGAGGGUCCUGGGGGGUUGGGGGGGGUGAGGAAGGGCCCCCUCCGGAGGAGGGGGUCCCGGGGGGGGGGGGGGGGGGCCCCCUCCGGAGGAGGGGGGGUCCGGGGGAGGGGGGCGGGGCGGAGAGGGGCCUUCCCCCCUCCAGCCCCGCCCCCUCCCGGGGACCCCCUCCUCCGGACCGGGGCCCGGGGGGGGGGGGGGGGGGCGGGUGGGGAGGGGGGCCGGCACUGGAGGGCUGCUCGCAUUUUUCUUUUUUUUACGUCUGUUCACGCCACAUAGUGACAUGACCCCGCCUCCUCCCCCCCCCCCCCGCCCCCCCCCCCCCCCCGGGCCCCGGUCCGAAAGAGGGUCCCCGGGAGGGGGCCGGGGCAGACCCCGUCCGGCGGAGGGGGUCCCGGGGAGGGGGCGGGGCUGGAGGGGGGAAGGCUCCUCUCCGCCCUGCCCCCCCCCCGGGACCCCCUCCUCCGGAGGGGGCCCUUCCUCACCCCCCCCAACC
This 1141-nucleotide long non-coding RNA is filed under the name Taeniopygia guttata (zebra finch). RNAcentral describes it as "lncRNA (ENSTGUG00000029581.1)". The record is from RNAcentral. Lineage: Eukaryota; Metazoa; Chordata; Aves; Passeriformes; Estrildidae.